RNAcentral lists this unclassified non-coding RNA (185 nucleotides) under Glomus sp. RNAcentral describes it as "partial contains 5.8S ribosomal RNA and internal transcribed spacer 2". The stretch from base 1 to 65 matches the Rfam family "5.8S ribosomal RNA", at positions 84 to 154 of the family's 154-position model. Lineage: Eukaryota; Fungi; Glomeromycota; Glomeromycetes; Glomerales; Glomeraceae. The record is from RNAcentral.
GUGAAUCAUCGAAUUUUUGAACGCAAAUUGCACUCUCCUCGGAGAGUAUGAGUGUUUGUGGGUCAGCCUAUAAAAAAUUGACACCGUUGCUGUUUCGCGGUGGUGAUCGUCGGAAAUUGGGUCAUCUUAAAUCUUUUGGUUUGAAGAGAUUUAAUAUUUUUUUUUUGGUUUCAUGAACGUUUCUA